CCUACGGGAGGCAGCAGUGAGGAAUAUUGGUCAAUGGACGAGAGUCUGAACCAGCCAUGUAGCGUGAAGGAUGACUGCCCUAUGGGUUGUAAACUUCUUUUAUAUGGGAAUAAAAUGUUCCACGUGUGGGUUUUUGUAUGUACCAUAUGAAUAAGGAUCGGCUAACUCCGUGCCAGCAGCCGCGGUAAUACGGAGGAUCCGAGCGUUAUCCGGAUUUAUUGGGUUUAAAGGGAGCGUAGGUGGAUUGUUAAGUUAGUUGUGAAAGUUUGCGGCUCAACCGUAAAAUUGCAGUUGAUACUGGCAGUCUUGAGUACAGUAGAGGUGGGCGGAAUUCGUGGUGUAGCGGUGAAAUGCUUAGAUAUCACGAAGAACACCGAUUGCGAAGGCAGCUCACUAGACUGCAACUGACACUGAGGCUCGAAAGUGUGGGUAUCAAACAGGAUUAGAUACCCCAGUAGUC
RNAcentral lists this ribosomal RNA (460 nucleotides) under uncultured bacterium. RNAcentral's name for it is "partial 16S ribosomal RNA". It matches the Rfam family "Bacterial small subunit ribosomal RNA", at positions 338 to 795 of the family's 1533-position model. The record is from RNAcentral.